GACGAACGCUGGCGGCGUGCCUAACACAUGCAAGUCGAGCGGGGUUGAAGCGAGGGGUAACUCGGACUUCUACCUAGCGGCGGACGGGUGAGUAACGCGUGGGCAACCUGCCUCAAGGUUUGGGAUAACAGCUCGAAAGGGCUGCUAAUACCGGAUAUGCCUGUGGCCUCGCAUGGGGCUAUGAGCAAAGGGGAAACCCGCCUUGAGAUGGGCCCGCGUCCCAUCAGCUAGUUGGUGAGGUGAAGGCUCACCAAGGCGACGACGGGUAGCCGGCCUGAGAGGGUGACCGGCCACACUGGGACUGAGACACGGCCCAGACUCCUACGGGGGGCAGCAGUGGGGGAUCUUGCACAAUGGGCGAAAGCCUGAUGCAGCGACGCCGCGUGAGCGAAGAAGGCCUUCGGUUGUAAAGCUCUGUCUGGAGGGACGAAACGAAAUAGACGGUACCUCCGGACGGAAGCCACGGCUAACUACGUG
This 477-nucleotide ribosomal RNA is filed under the name uncultured bacterium. RNAcentral describes it as "bacterial SSU rRNA". It matches the Rfam family "Bacterial small subunit ribosomal RNA", at positions 28 to 507 of the family's 1533-position model. The record is from RNAcentral.